This 253-nucleotide ribosomal RNA is filed under the name uncultured bacterium. RNAcentral's name for it is "partial 16S ribosomal RNA". It matches the Rfam family "Bacterial small subunit ribosomal RNA", at positions 524 to 776 of the family's 1533-position model. The record is from RNAcentral.
UACAGAGGGUGCGAGCGUUAAUCGGAAUUACUGGGCGUAAAGCGUGCGUAGACGGUUAUUUAAGUCGGAUGUGAAAGCCCCGGGCUCAACCUGGGAAUUGCAUUUGAGACUGAAUAGCUAGGGUGCGGAAGAGGGAAGCGGAAUUUCCGGUGUAGCAGUGAAAUGCGUAGAUAUCGGAAGGAACAUCAGUGGCGAAAGCGGCUUCCUGGUCCAGCACCGACGUUCAGGCACGAAAGCGUGGGGAGCAAACAGG